GGACGCAUCACUGGUGUUCGGGUUGUCAUGCCAAUGGCACUGCCCGGUAGCUAAAUGCGGAAGAGAUAAGUGCUGAAAGCAUCUAAGCACGAAACUUGCCCCGAGAUGAGUUCUCCCUGAGACUUAGAGUCUCCUGAAGGAACGUUGAAGACGACGACGUUGAUAGGCCGGGUGUGUAAGCGCAGCGAUGCGUUGAGCUAACCGGUACUAAUGAACCGUGAGGCUUAACCUU
RNAcentral lists this ribosomal RNA (232 nucleotides) under Escherichia coli. RNAcentral describes it as "partial 23S ribosomal RNA". It matches the Rfam family "Bacterial large subunit ribosomal RNA", at positions 2699 to 2925 of the family's 2925-position model. The record is from RNAcentral. Lineage: Bacteria; Pseudomonadati; Pseudomonadota; Gammaproteobacteria; Enterobacterales; Enterobacteriaceae. RNAcentral also lists the same sequence under 2 other names.